GGUCCAGACGGGCAGAGCCCCUGGAAGAGGCUCUUAAAGACUCUUCAUAAUUAGGAAGAAGAUGUUGAUGAUUAAAUGAGAUCCUGGAACCACAAAGUGCUCUUAUUCAUCAGGGAAGGCCUCCUCUCUGCCAGUGGGCGACCUUUCGCACUUGGCUGCUGCUCUGUCUUUCCCCAAUCUCUUUGUGGAAAGGGAAAAAAAAAUCCCAGAACAAUGGGCCUCCGGGAAGCUUCGAUGCACUGGAUGGAACAGAAGGGGGUUUUGUUUCUGGAGAUGAGAAAACAGGAGUAAACAGACCUCAGUGACUUGCCCAGGAUGACACAACUAGUAAGUGUCUGAGGCUGAAUUUGAACUCUGGAAGAAAGCUGUUCCUGAUUUGGGGUCUGGAAUUCUAAGCACUAAGCCACCAUUUUGCUGCUCCCAUGAAAAACCUUGGCAGUCAUCUAAUAUGACCUUUCAUUACAG
RNAcentral lists this long non-coding RNA (465 nucleotides) under Sarcophilus harrisii (Tasmanian devil). Its description in RNAcentral is "lncRNA (ENSSHAG00000030134.1)". The record is from RNAcentral. Lineage: Eukaryota; Metazoa; Chordata; Mammalia; Dasyuromorphia; Dasyuridae.